RNAcentral lists this ribosomal RNA (484 nucleotides) under Bos taurus (domestic cattle). Its description in RNAcentral is "partial 16S ribosomal RNA". It matches the Rfam family "Bacterial large subunit ribosomal RNA", at positions 2234 to 2879 of the family's 2925-position model. Lineage: Eukaryota; Metazoa; Chordata; Mammalia; Artiodactyla; Bovidae. The record is from RNAcentral.
CCAUUAAGGAAUAACAACAAUCUCCAUGAGUUGGUAGUUUCGGUUGGGGUGACCUCGGAGAAUAAAAAAUCCUCCGAGCGAUUUUAAAGACUAGACCCACAAGUCAAAUCACUCUAUCGCUCAUUGAUCCAAAAACUUGAUCAACGGAACAAGUUACCCUAGGGAUAACAGCGCAAUCCUAUUCAAGAGUCCAUAUCGACAAUAGGGUUUACGACCUCGAUGUUGGAUCAGGACAUCCUGAUGGUGCAACCGCUAUCAAAGGUUCGUUUGUUCAACGAUUAAAGUCCUACGUGAUCUGAGUUCAGACCGGAGUAAUCCAGGUCGGUUUCUAUCUAUUACGUAUUUCUCCCAGUACGAAAGGACAAGAGAAAUAAGGCCAACUUUAAAUCAAGCGCCUUAAGACAACCAAUGAUAACAUCUCAACUGACAACACAAAACCCUGCCCUAGAACAGGGCUUAGUUAAGGUGGCAGAGCCCGGUAAUU